GACGUAGGGGGCGAGCGUUGUCCGGAAUUACUGGGCGUAAAGAGCGUGUAGGCGGGUAUUUAAGACAGGUGUGAAAUACCGGGGCUCAACCUCGGGGCUGCACCUGAAACUGGGUAUCUUGAGGGCAGGAGGGGGAAGUGGAAUUCCCGGUGUAGCGGUGAAAUGCGUAGAUAUCAGGAGGAAAACCGGUGGCGAAGGCGGCUUCCUGGACUGACCCUGACGCUGAGACGCGAAAGCGUGGGGAGCAAACAGG
RNAcentral lists this ribosomal RNA (253 nucleotides) under uncultured bacterium. Its description in RNAcentral is "partial 16S ribosomal RNA". It matches the Rfam family "Bacterial small subunit ribosomal RNA", at positions 524 to 776 of the family's 1533-position model. The record is from RNAcentral.